CUUCAACGUGCCCUGUCAACUUGAAAACACAACAACUUUAAAGUUGGGUGUAUAAUUGCUAUAUAAGAUUUUGUGCAUAUGGUGAUAAAAAAGGUCCAAUUAGAAGCAUCCUAUCUUUUAGAACAAAGUAGUAGAGUUUUCAAACCGAUUAAGAAGUAGCGAUUUCUUUUAUGCUAUUCAGGCUAAGAUGUCAAACUGCCAAAGUCAAUGGCCGCAUGGAAUGUUAGAGCUCUAGAAAUGACUUCCUGAUGCUGCCAUUGCGGUUAAGGCUUUAAAGUCCAUGGACACAUGACAUGUCUCAAGAAAAUGCAACCAUCCCCAGAAACACCAGCUAACUCUCAGGUAAUAAUUAAUUAACAUACAAAAUUGAAAGAUUGAGGCUACAAGUACUCAUCGUAUUGGAUGAGAAAUUUUUGUAUGUUCUGGUACUCAUCCUAUUGAACAUACAAAAAUUUCUCAACAGAAUUUCAUCCUUAUUGGUACAUCUUUUAUCAAGCUUUUGGACAAGAG
This 510-nucleotide long non-coding RNA is filed under the name Prunus dulcis (almond). Its description in RNAcentral is "sRNA ncRNA". The record is from RNAcentral. Lineage: Eukaryota; Viridiplantae; Streptophyta; Magnoliopsida; Rosales; Rosaceae.